UCAGCAGACAAGUCGAUCUCCUGCCACGCUCCCCCAAAUCACUAUUUCCACCGAGUGAUUGGUUGUUUGAAAGGGUGUUAACCUACUGAAGCUGUUUUGGUUGGCUGACUGAUUAACUUUUGAAUGGAUUCUAAAAGAAUUAACGGCGGCAACUGUUUCCUGUACCCAGAGACAGACUGGCCUCAAGUAUACAACAUGGCCGGCACGGACAUGCUCCUGUUUGCUGGAAGGAUGGCUUUCCGCUCCGACCUCCAUCUCGCGUCCAUUCAUUCCGAUCUCAGCGUUCCUGAAACGUGCGCUUGUCCCGUGGAUGCCGCCAUUAUCUGGAUGGAAAGACAACUUGACAAUGUCAGAAAGGACCUAGAAAUAAUAAAGAAGACCAGUAUGACGUCAUCCACCCGUCCGUACCUCCCACCCUGCCUACCCGCAUGAGGGGGCGUGUCGGGGUCAUUGAGUACGAACUGCAGGAAGCAGAGAGACUGAGGCAGAUCAGAGAGAGAAAACAGCAACGAGAGAAGCUUUGACCCAGGAGAGAGUAGUCAUGAGGGAGGAGAGAGACAGGAGAGACGCUAUGUCGGUUGUGGGGGUCAGGAAGAGAAAACUGGAGGAGGGGACAUCAUCGAUGAACGUGGCGGAAACCAGACCGAAGAGAUCUCGCAAACAAAAUUCCAAAUAUGACAGCGGCACCUUCCUCAUCCACAACGGAUCUGGCGCCUCCCGCGACACAUCCAACAUCGCCAACAGACUGAGGAGCAGGAGGACUUUAAAACGUGGCCACUAGAAACUGGCAGCUUGAUUUGACAUUCAAGAUAUAGUUUUAAAUUUCGUCACUCUAUUUUCAUCGAUCUGUGAUUGCUCGGAAAGCCCUGU
Molecule: long non-coding RNA, 870 nt
Organism: Haliotis rubra (blacklip abalone)
Lineage: Eukaryota; Metazoa; Mollusca; Gastropoda; Lepetellida; Haliotidae
Exons: 5
Source: RefSeq, a predicted model, not a curated record